GAUGAACGCUGGCGGCGUGCCUAAUACAUGCAAGUAGAACGCUGACGGAGGAGCUUGCUCUUCUGGAUGAGUUGCGAACGGGUGAGUAACGCGUAGGUAACCUGCCUGGUAGCGGGGGAUAACUAUUGGAAACGAUAGCUAAUACCGCAUGACAACAGUUAUUGCAUGAUAACUGUUUAAAAGGGGCAACUGCUCCACUACCAGAUGGACCUGCGUUGUAUUAGCUAGUUGGUGAGGUAACGGCUCACCAAGGCGACGAUACAUAGCCGACCUGAGAGGGUGAACCGCCAAACUGGGAAUGAGACAAGGCCCAGACUCCUACGGGGAGCAGCAGGAGGGAAUCUUCGGCAAUGGGCGGAAGGCUGACCGAGCAACGCCGGGUGGGUGAAGGAGGUUUUCGGAUCGGAAAGCUCUGUUGUAAGAGAAGAAAGAGAGUGAGAGUAGAAAGUUCACACUGUGACGGUAUCUUACCAGAAAGGGACGGCUAACUACGUG
Molecule: ribosomal RNA, 495 nt
Filed under: uncultured bacterium
Lineage: Bacteria
Description: partial 16S ribosomal RNA
Rfam family: Bacterial small subunit ribosomal RNA
Source: RNAcentral